UAAAUAGUCUUUGUUUCUGUUGCUUAGGU
RNAcentral lists this non-coding RNA (29 nucleotides) under Rattus norvegicus (Norway rat). The record is from RNAcentral. Lineage: Eukaryota; Metazoa; Chordata; Mammalia; Rodentia; Muridae.